Molecule: ribosomal RNA, 492 nt
Filed under: uncultured bacterium
Lineage: Bacteria
Description: partial 16S ribosomal RNA
Rfam family: Bacterial small subunit ribosomal RNA
Source: RNAcentral
GGUGAACGCUGGCGGUAUGCCUAACACAUGCAAGUCGAACGGCAGCACAGUAAGCUCUUGCUCUUACGGGUGGCGAGUGGCGGACGGGUGACGAAUGCAUCGGCAUCUACUUUUUCGUGGGUGACAACGUAGGGAAACUUAUGCUAAUACCGCAUACGACCUACCGGUGAAAGCAGUGGAUCUUCAGACCUUUCGCGUUUCAAUUAGCUGGUGUCGGAUUAGCUAGUUGGCUGGGUAAAGGCCCACCAAGGCGACGAUCCGUAGCUUGUCUGAGAGGAUGAUCAGCCACACUGGAACUGAGACACGGUCCAGACUCCUACGGGAGGCAGCAGUGGGGAAUAUUCGACAAUGGGCGAAAGCCUGAUCCAGCAAUACCGCGUGAGUGAAGAAGGUCUUCGGAUUGUAAAGCCCUUUUGUUGGGAAAGAAAAGCAGCAGGUUAAUACCCCGCUGUUCUGACGGUACCCAAAGAAAAAGCAACGGCUAACUACGUG